Molecule: ribosomal RNA, 400 nt
Filed under: uncultured bacterium
Lineage: Bacteria
Description: bacterial SSU rRNA
Rfam family: Bacterial small subunit ribosomal RNA
Source: RNAcentral
AACGAACGCUGGCGGCGUGCCUAAGACAUGCAAGUCGUGCGGAAAGGCUCCUUCGGGAGUACUCGAGCGGCGCACGGGUGAGUAACACGUGGGUAAUCUACCUGAGGGUCUGGGAUAACCCCGGGAAACUGGGGCUAAUACCGGAUGAGACCACGGCGUCCUCGGACGCAGCGGUCAAAGGUGGCCUCUCCUUGGAAGCUAUCGCCCGCAGAUGAGCCCGCGUCCCAUUAGCUAGUUGGCGGGGUAACGGCCCACCAAGGCGACGAUGGGUAGCUGGUCUGAGAGGAUGAUCAGCCACACUGGAACUGAGACACGGUCCAGACUCCUACGGAGGCAGCAGUCGGGAAUUUUGGGCAAUGGGCGAAAGCCUGACCCAGCAACGCCGCGUGAGGGAUGAAGG